This 760-nucleotide ribosomal RNA is filed under the name uncultured bacterium. RNAcentral describes it as "bacterial SSU rRNA". It matches the Rfam family "Bacterial small subunit ribosomal RNA", at positions 8 to 796 of the family's 1533-position model. The record is from RNAcentral.
AGAGUUUGAUCAUGGCUCAGGAUGAACGCUGGCGGCGUGCCUAACACAUGCAAGUCGAGCGAUUUACUUCGGUAAAGAGCGGCGGACGGGUGAGUAACGCGUGGGUAACCUGCCCUGUACACACGGAUAACAUACCGAAAGGUAUGCUAAUACGAGAUAAUAUGUUUUUAUCGCAUGGUAGAAGUAUCAAAGCUUUUGCGGUACAGGAUGGACCCGCGUCUGAUUAGCUAGUUGGUAAGGUAACGGCUUACCAAGGCUACGAUCAGUAGCCGACCUGAGAGGGUGAUCGGCCACAUUGGAACUGAGACACGGUCUAAACUCCUACGGGAGGCAGCAGUGGGGAAUGUUGCACAAUGGGCGAAAGCCUGAUGCAGCAACGCCGCGUGAGCGAUGAAGGCCUUCGGGUCGUAAAGCUCUGUCCUCAAGGAAGAUAAUGACGGUACUUGAGGAGGAAGCCCCGGCUAACUACGUGCCAGCAGCCGCGGUAAUACGUAGGGGGCUAGCGUUACCCGGAAUUACUGGGCGUAAAGGGUGCGUAGGUGGUUUCUUAAGUCAGAGGUGAAAGGCUACGGCUCAACCGUAGUAAGCCUUUGAAACUGGGAAACUUGAGUGCAGGAGAGGAGAGUGGAAUUCCUAGUGUAGCGGCGAAAUGCGUAGAUAUUAGGAGGAACACCGGUUGCGAAGGCGGCUCUCUGGACUGUAACUGACACUGAGGCACGAAAGCGUGGGGAGCAAACAGGAUUAGAUACCCCGGUAGUCC